AACGAACGCUGGCGGCAUGCCUAACACAUGCAAGUCGAACGAGACCUUCGGGUCUAGUGGCGCACGGGUGCGUAACGCGUGGGAACCUGCCCUUAGGUUCGGAAUAACUCCCCGAAAGGGGUGCUAAUACCGGAUAAUGUCUUCGGACCAAAGAUUUAUCGCCUUUGGAUGGGCCCGCGUUGGAUUAGCUAGUUGGUAGGGUAAAAGCCUACCAAGGCGACGAUCCAUAGCUGGUCUGAGAGGAUGAUCAGCCACACUGGGACUGAGACACGGCCCAGACUCCUACGGGAGGCAGCAGUGGGGAAUAUUGGACAAUGGGCGAAAGCCUGAUCCAGCAAUGCCGCGUGAGUGAUGAAGGCCUUAGAGUUGUAAAGCUCUUUUACCCGGGAUGAUAAUGACAGUACCGGAAGAAUAAGCUCCGGCUAACUCCGUG
Molecule: ribosomal RNA, 433 nt
Filed under: uncultured bacterium
Lineage: Bacteria
Description: partial 16S ribosomal RNA
Rfam family: Bacterial small subunit ribosomal RNA
Source: RNAcentral